UCCUGGCUCAGGAUGAACGCUGGCGGUCUGCUUAACACAUGCAAGUCGAACGCAACCUUCGGGUUGAGUGGCGGACGGGUGAGUAACGCGUGAGAAUCUGCCUUGGGGUCGGGGACAACCACUGGAAACGGUGGCUAAUACCGGAUAAGCCUUUGGGUAAAAGAUUUAUUGCCCCAAGAGGAGCUCGCGUCUGAUUAGCUAGUUGGUGAGGUAAAAGCUCACCAAGGCAGCGAUCAGUAGCUGGUCUGAGAGGACGAUCAGCCACACUGGGACUGAGACACGGCCCAGACUCCUACGGGAGGCAGCAGUGGGGAAUUUUCCGCAAUGGGCGAAAGCCUGACGGAGCAAGACCGCGUGAGGGAGGAAGGCUCUUGGGUUGUAAACCUCUUUUCUCAGGGAAGAAGCUCUGACGGUACCUGAGGAAUCAGCCUCGGCUAACUCCGUGCCAGCAGCCGCGGUAAUACGGAGGAGGCAAGCGUUAUCCGGAAUUAUUGGGCGUAAAGCGUCCGCAGGUGGCGAUUCAAGUCUGCUGUCAAAGCACGGGGCUUAACUCCGUUAAGGCAGUGGAAACUGAAUAGCUAGAGUGCCGUAGGGGUAGAGGGAAUUCCCGGUGUAGCGGUGAAAUGCGUAGAGAUCGGGAAGAACAUCGGUGGCGAAAGCGCUCUACUGGACGGCAACUGACACUCAGGGACGAAAGCUAGGGGAGCGAAUGGGAUUAGAUACCCCAGUAGUCCUAGCUGUAAACGAUGGAUACUAGGUGUAGCUUGUAUCGACCCGAGCUGUGCCGAAGCUAAACGCGUUAAGUAUCCCGCCUGGGGAGUACGCACGCAAGUGUGAAACUCAAAGGAAUUGACGGGGGCCCGCACAAGCGGUGGAGUAUGUGGUCUAAUUCGAUGCACCGCGAAGAACCUU
Molecule: ribosomal RNA, 912 nt
Filed under: uncultured organism
Description: bacterial SSU rRNA
Rfam family: Bacterial small subunit ribosomal RNA
Source: RNAcentral